Streptococcus agalactiae LMG 14747 is the source of this 107-nucleotide non-coding RNA. NCBI's taxonomy places the organism in Bacteria, Bacillati, Bacillota, Bacilli, Lactobacillales, Streptococcaceae. The record is from Rfam.
ACUAUCGUGAGGUAGCGGGGAGAGGAAGGGAUAGCGAAAUCGUGGCUCUACGAACAGAAACGUAAUAUCAAGGCGUAUAUAGGGGAUGAGGAGGCACACAACUCUAA